Chelonoidis abingdonii (Abingdon island giant tortoise) is the source of this 9302-nucleotide long non-coding RNA. RefSeq lists it as uncharacterized. NCBI's taxonomy places the organism in Eukaryota, Metazoa, Chordata, Testudines, Testudinidae. The record is from RefSeq and is a predicted model, not a curated record.
UUAGCCGUCUGCUCUCUGGCCUCAAGUGAUUUCUUCCUAAACCGGCUGCCCCCAAGGAUAUAACAAGUGGUGACGAGGAUGGGAUACCAGUGCUGCCCCAGCAACAGAAGGAAGUAGAAGUCAAGUAGAUUUCCUCAUCUUGGCAAGUGGAUAUCCCAAGAGUGCACUCUGCCCUAUCACAUCAGAACUUGCAACAACACCAGCAGGUUUUUUUCCUCUAUGUACUUCAACUGAGUGGUAGGUUAAUUAGUUAGCUGACUAGUUAACUGAAUGAUUUCAACAGAGGAGGAGGAGAAAGAGUCUGCAUGGAAUCCAGUUGGAAGUUUCUAGAAGAGAAGAUAUUGUUGCAGUGUUUUUGACUGAACAGACUAUAGAUUUUGGUCAGCCAAGACUGUAACUGAGACUCAUGUGAACUCAACCUAAGCUUUUGGGAACUCUGAGUUACUUCUCCCUGUAUUUCUCUAGCAACUGACCUGUUUAGAUUUAAUUUGUUUAUGUUUAUGUGUAACUGAGGAGUUAAUGUAUGUGGUUUAUAAAGUAGCCUUAUGUUGUAGAAAUUAAGUUAUUAUUUUUCUGUUUCUUUAUCAUUAUAAGAUUUUAUGAAGUUGGUAUUUAAGAAUUAAGUUAUGGUAAUUCAUUUUGCUCUUUUUGGACUUAAUUGUAGGGAGGCUGACCCUGUGCAAUCCUUGCUGAAAAUCCUCAGUGACUGAAUUCUGGGUCUCCAUGUGCAUUACUAUGGGAGUUGGUUUUAGAGAGUAGGAAAAAGGCAGUGAAGUAAACUCUAGCCCACCCAAAGGUUACAAAUUGCACCUGAACAGACAGGGACUUGAGGACUGCUCAGAGCUCACCUCUUAUUUCUUUUUGAGGAAUAUUGCAGCAGUUACUUAUGAAAGAAUUUAGUGUUACUGAAAAUAGUAAUUGAAUUUGUACACUGUAUUAAUAUUGUUAAGAUAAUGGAAACUUGUGCACAAUUUGGGUUAGAUCUCUAUGGGACCAUUUUGAUCAGUGACGUGUCCCCUUAUUGUACAGCAAAAGUUAAGAGGGCUAUUAGGAAUUUUGGUCAUGUAACUAAUAUAAGGCAGGUGAACAAAAAGAUAUGAUAUUUUUUUAAUUUGAAGAUGCUGGGUCUGUGAUACACAUAGGGAGGAACUGUGUGUUGUGGAAGCUCGAGCAGAAAUGGGAUGAGACUCGUAUUCAUUUUGAGGUUUUGCCAUUUAUAUCCACUGGUUCUGUGCCCAGAGUACCUCAGUGCAGGGAUCAGGGAUAUUCACUGUAUUUUGACACAGGGUUCAAGACUGGGACACAGGAUGUGGUUACACCUGUGGGUGAUAGAUAGACUAGGUGGUUAACAGAUUCUACACCUGUUAUGGACGGAGGUCCAGUAGGAGUUUCUGCACCUGCUGUGAGUCUCCCUCUUGACAUGCAACAUCUUUGUUAGACCAGGUGCUGAAAUCUACCAGUGGAACUGUGACUGAUGUGGAAUUUAAACUGAAAUGUUUUUUGGGUAAUUCACCCAGACCCCGUGGAGAAAUAGAUUAUUUUACCUGGUGAGCAUAAGUCAAAGUGAUAUGGAAGACAGUGAAAUUUCUGUCAUGGGUCCAAACCAUCGCAGUCAUCUUUCUUGAUUCUUCUGUAACAGCUUUAUUUCUUGCCUUAGCCAUUUUUUCUCUCUUCAUUUUUUAUUUUUGUAGUCUUUAAACUCUCAAGUAUUCUCUUCUGCCAGGUUCUAGUUCUUUGUCUCAUGGUUUGAUCUUUACCUAUUUCUCUUGUCUUCCAAUUGUCAUAUUUUUUGUCUUCUCUCUUUUUAUCUUCCCAAUCUACCUUGUCAUUUAUUCUCUGUAAAUCCUCCUUGGUCAAUGCAGUGAAGUCAAUAUCACCUGCGAAUCUAAAGUUAUGCUCUGUUCUACCACAUAAUAUGACUCUUCCUGUUUCAUCUCUCAAUGCUACAGCCAUUACUGCCCCCAGUACUCAGUUAAACAAAUCUGGUGAUAGCAUGCAUCCUUGUCUAACUCCUAUGGUCAUCCUGAACCAUUCUAUCCAUUUCUUGUGUACUCUCACCUUAUACAUUGUCUUGUUGUAGAUGUUUUCUGUCAGCUUGAUCAGUUUUUUGGGCAUGCCAUACAUUCUUAUAACUGGCUACAACUCUUUCUGACAAAUGCUAUUGAAAGCCAUCUUGAAGUCCAUAAAGUAAUUGCAACAGGUUCAGUUGUGUUCUAUGUACUUCUCCAAUAUCUGUAUUAUCACAAAUAACUGAUCUGUUGUACUUCAUCCUGGUCUGUAUCCUGCCUGUUCCUCUGUAAGUGCCACAUCUACACAUCUCUUCAUUUGCCUCAGCAAUGUCUUAGUGAAUGUUUCUCCCAGCACAUUCGGUAAUCUGAUUCCUUUGCAGUUCUUGCAUUCACUUUUACCUCCUUUUUUAUAGACUGGUUCUAUUAUCACUUUCCCUGAUUCAUUCGGCAUUUGCUCUUGUUCGUAAAUCUUGAUGGACAGCUUGUGCAUCAUCUUUACUAUAUGUUCCUCACCUGUUUGCAGCAGCUCUGUGGUUGUCAAUUCCCAGCACCUUUUUCUUUUUCAAACUUUCUAUUAGGAUCUUUAUUUCUUCUAAGAAUUUUGAUAUCUGCUGUCCCUCAUUUGUGCUGUGAAGUUUCUCCAGGACCACUUCAAUCUACUCAGGUUCUGCACAUUGUACAGCUGUUCAAAAUUUCUUUCCAUUGCUUAUUCUUUGCUUGUUCAUCCUCAAUUACUUGUCCAUGAUUGUUUUUCAUUGCUGACAUCUUCACCUCAUAUGUCUCAUUCAGUUCUCUUAUCUUGUGAUACAACUGUGUUGUACUUCUCUUCACACAAUUUUCUGCUUUGUAUAUCCAGGUGUUUGUCUCUCUCUGCUUUCUGUUUGAUCUCUUUGGUCAGCCUUUUGUACUUAUUUCUUAGACUUACACCCUCCUAUUCUCCUUCAUCAUCUAUGCUUGUCACGCAACUGCAGCACUUCAACCAUUAUCCAACUGGUUUCUUUGUAGUCCAAUACUUGUUCAGUCACUCUCAUAAUCCCAUUUUAUAUACUUUUACAUGUCUCGUCAACAGUCAUUUCUUCUUUCACCAAAGAUUUGCUGAGGACUUCACAUAUACGUGUACUAUUAUAGCUGCACUGGAUUUGAUACUGAAUCUCGCCUUCAACAUAUGAGUAGAUAAAUACCAUAAGAGGCUGGCUUACCUUUGGCUUUAGAACCAAUGUAACUCUGUCCUGGCAUCCACCAUUUUCUUUUCUUGAUGUCAUUAUCCUAUGUUCAUCAUGAUAUAAUUCUCCUUCCCAACUCAUUUUGCAUAGACUGAUGAUUUCUCAUAAUGUUCAACUUAUGCAUCAUUACCGCAAGUGCUCCAGCCUGGAUCAACUUGUGAGCAGGUAUAACGCUGUCCUAACGGAUGGCUAUAAGUGCAGUUGGCAAAAAGACUGUUCAUGAGCAUCACAUGGAGUUGUUUAUGACAUAGUAGUUAAGACAUUCAAAUUGCUGUCUGUUCUGAGUUAUGGGCCAGUGAAAACAAGCUAUCCGGCUAUUGAUAGAUCCACUUCCUAUAUACAUAUAUAUACAUAUAUAUAUAAAAUGCUUGUUCAUCCACAUGAAGACAGUUCUGAGUCCUGGUGAAUUGGUGGUUAGUGUUUCAUGCAGCUGCACAUUGUCAUUUAUCAGUUCUUCUGGCUUCCCAUGAGAACUCUCCUGAGGUAACUGAAAUAAGGUUCUUUAUUGUAGCUGACUUUCUGAAGAACAGAACAACUUUGUGAGAACACAGUGCCCUGCAGAUUUAUGAGCGUUAAGAUGUACUGAGUGAUUGAUGUUAGAUUUUCAGAUGCUUUUUCUGGAUGUGGUGAAUUAUUGAUUGGAUUUGUUAUUCUCAGUCUCUUCACAUUUGGCCCUGGGUCAAUUCAUUGUAGGGCUGGAUUUGUUUCACCAAAGUCCAUUACAGGAGUCAAAGAUGACCUUGUCUCCCCUUAAGGUCAGGUUCAGUUCUGUUUUCCAAAACAAUGUGAGAUAUUAUACAAGAAAGUAGUUUUUCCUCUAUACAAUCACAUUAAGGUACUCUUAGCAAUUCAUAUUGCUGCAGCUUAACAAAUCAUUAUAAAGGAAUAAUUAUGUAAGCUGGUGCAACUCCUAUUGACUUCAUUAUGAUUCCUAUCCACUUACACCAGGGUUGAAUUUGGCUUAUAAUUUUAUUUUUCUUUAAAAUGCAGAGAAGGAGUGUAUGAGGGGAAGUCAGAGUAUUAUCAGGAGAAAGGCAUAGGAAGGGAAGGUACAGAAUAUUUGUUUUGUGUCUUUGCAAUGAUUCUUCUGAAAAAGAAAGUAUCGUGUCUAUGGAUUUCAGCAUGCGUAGAAGAUAGGAAUAAGAAAAAAUCAAUUUCAGGGGAAUUUUGGACAUUUCUGACCAGUUCGGAGUGGUGUCAUAUCUAUAAUAAUGGUACAUUAGUGUCCACAAAAUACACAGAUCAAACUGUUUUCUUUAUUUGUGAGUUUCAUUAUUCCAUUCCAUAAUAAAAAUAAGACAAUCCAGAAGCUAUCAGUAUAUUCGGGAAAUUAAUAGAAGCCAGACUGGGAGUCAGGAAUCCUGAUACAUUUUCCUUACUCUUUACUGUUGUAUGACCUUAGGUAAGUUACUAAAGCGAAAAUUUCCCCCAAGUGUCCACUAAUGUUGAGUUUCUUGAUUUCUGGGUGCCUAAUUUAAGGCAUAUAGGGGCUCAUUAUCGGGGUGCUAAGCACCUACAGCUCCAUUUGAAGUCAGUGAAAACUACAGAUGCUCAGUAUCUGUGAAAAUCAGAUUCUAAGUGUUUCAAGUUUAAGCUCCCAAAAUUAGUGCACCCAGAAUUAGCAGACACUUCUGAAAACUUUGGCUUAAACAUAUCUUGUGGCUCAGUUUCACACAUUUCUAAGAUUGGGAUAAUACUAACCUGACUUGGAGGGUUAUCUUGAGACUUAAUGAAUAUUAAUCAAGUACUUCAAAAUUCUCAUAAGAGAUUUACUAUAAAAGAGAAAAGUAGUAUUACCCUUCUCAGUUAAAGUCACGUGGUUUCUGACUGCAUCCAGAUUACCAAGAAAAUGCAUCAUUCAGUCAGUCACUGCUGAUCACAUACUAAAUAUAUUUAUGUACAAUUUUGACAAACUGACAGAGAUAUUGUGACACAAAGGUCUUCUGUAGAUAACUUGUUUUAAAUAACAAAAUCAUUUCCUUUUAUAUCAACUUCAUGUCACCUCAGCAAAGUCGAUGUAUUAUGCCAUUUUUUGCUCAUCUAUGUUGCUGAUAUGAUUAUUCUGCUUGAUCAUAAGCAUUGUUUUUAUUUUCCGUCCCCACAUUUGUUAUUCACAGCUCAGCUCCUGCAGAAACCCUUGCUAUUUAUGUAUAGCAGGACAGCAUUGUCUAUAAAUAUAGUGUAAGGAAUACUCAUGCACGAGUAAGGGGAUAAGAUAGAUGACCUAACCGGUCUUUUCUCUCUCUAAUUUCUAAGAUACUAUGAAUAUAAAGUGGUUCAGUUGCUCAGAUACUUUUCUUCCAUAAUCUCAUCUGUGAAAUAUAUUGUGAAGAGCUCUGGAUAGCUGUCCUCCUAAUAAUCUGAUCAUUCAUCUUCUUUAGGAUUAUUUUCUCAUAAGAAGUAUGAGUAAUCCUGAUCCCAAAUCUUCAUGUUCCAUUUGAAAUGUAUUGCUCCAGAGUUAAUUGCUCAGCAGCUUGACAGAAAUAUAUGGACAGUAAAAUAAUUGAGUGUAUGUCCUUAGAUCAUCAUUAUCCUCUUGCAUGUAUAGAAAAAAGAACACUCCAAUUUGCUGUGCUUCAUUUCCUCUUGGUGCAAACAGUAAUGCUAAUUCCUUAUACCAUUUGUACUGUCCUAGCUAGGUGUGUCCCUUUGCACAGUCUUAGCCACUUCCCUGCCUUAUGUGUUCAUUCAACUUUCUCUUCAUUUCUUUUGCUUGGUGUCACUAUUGAUACCUGUUCAUCUAGAUGUCUUUUCUGCAGAGCUCCCAUUGCUCUCCUCUGCUCUCUACAAAUGCCACCUCUGUUCAUUUCUACUCUUUUCUCGUUGUGCUGAAGGACAAACAUCUGUUGUUACCUUGUCCCCAUUUGUCAUCUUGUUUUCUACCAGCUCCUUGUUUCCCUCUAGAUUACACUAGAUUGCUGACAUUAUAUUGCCUCACGUCUUCUAUAAUCCUAGAAAUGUAAUGGGGAUAAACAUCUCAAACAGUCACAUAAAUCUUUUUGAAGUUUCAUUCUUGGCUUUACUGCAAUUUGGAGAUCGUUUUAGGACCUUUGUCUCCUUUCACAGAACUUUCAUCCACCUCUUCGCCACUGGAAAUAUCACAAUACCUGAACACUUCAUUUCUCACAGGCUAUGGAUAAGAGUUGGAGUCUGUUUCUUAGUGAUCGAUUUCAUAUGCUCAGCUUUUCUUCAUGUCAUCUUCUAAGAAGGUUUUUUUUUUUUUAGUAAGUGAUUGCUGUUAUGAGUGUUGAUGGGAUUUGAGAUGAAACAGAGUUUCAUGCUGGUAAUGAGAACUGCUGGACUUGAGCCAGUAGCAGCUUUUAUUUUAAAUCAUUUUUUUUUAAUUUACUGAAUGUGCCCAUAAAUAUGCUGCUUAUCUUGAGCAGCCUACUGUUUGAAUAACUUUUGUACAGCACCGGGUAGAUCACUGACAGCAGGUGUUCUUGACUAAUUUAUAGAUCUUAGAGGUUUUUCCUCUCUCAAGUUUUCUUGUGUUGAAGUUAAAGCAUUGCUCUUAAGUUAACAAAAAAUGUUUUUCUGGAUCUGCUUUCUAAUUUGGUAGCCUGUUCUGGUUAUUUAGCACUUUGCUAUAACAUUCUCCUCAGGAAAAGUUUGAAUGUUGUGCCAUAGGGUCACUAUCACUGCUAUAAAGAGUACAUGAAUACUAGCUGUAAUGUCCCUUAUUUAGUCUUGGUGUGCGUAUAGAAAUUUAUCUUACUUGCACUAUCCCUUUCCAACACAUAUGAGGAGAUAUAAAUCAAUAGGCAGUAACAGCCAGAUCAGUCCAAUGCUCAGGACAAAAUACAGUUAUUUCAUGUAUUUCAUGUAAAAUAUAUAUCUACAAGUGAGGAAGUGACAUGCUCAGUCUCUACAGGUCUCAUAAAAUUAGACAUGCAUAGCCAUGAAAUGGUCUAUCUGUGCAUUUGUACUGUGCACCCCUGGCUGCAGUUGUACAUGCCACGAAGGCACUCUGGAUGGCUGGGGCAGCAUCAAGCACAUCCAAGUCAGAGUUGCUAUUUAGGGAUUUUGGAAGAACAGAGAAUAGAAAGCAUGAUAAACCUCUUUUCAUCUUUACACAAAUAAUGGCUACAACUAAUUAUUAGUGGGGCUUAGUCUCACUAGCCCCUAGUCACCAGCCCCCUCUAGAUUAUCCUGUGCAUGCAAGGCAGCUGCUACUACAUUCUGAGCAGAGCAAAUCAGGAAAAGAAUGGGACUGGAAAUACUGCAGUUGCAGUUACAGCAAUUGUUUGUGAUAAAGAGAGGAUCUCACCAGCUGCCGGGGAAAAAUGCGAUUUUUGGGGUAGUUGGCAUAAACAGUUAGUAAUCCCUGACUUAACUCCAGCUACACAGACAAGAAAGAAUGAGCUUUCUGAAUUAAGCAGGUCUUCACUGAAGGGAGUGUCUCUGGAGAAAUCCUCUAUGCAGCAAAGUACAGGAUAUCUUACAAGAAUUACUCUUUUCCCCUUACAUUUUUUCUAACUUAAUUUAUUGUUGCUGAAAGGUGUCAGGCUUAUUAUUAUUAUUUGUCGUGGUACCAAAAGGCCUGUGAGGAUCAGGGCCCAUUGGACAGAUGUAUUGUACGAGAUAGACAUCACAAUGAAGACUAGAGUCCUUUAUCCAAAUAGCAGCUAUGGCACUAGUGCAAAGUCCCUACACACUGCCACACCAAUACGUCUCAAGGUUAUUAGAGGAACCAAAUCUAGGGGACAGGAGUUCAGUCCAUGGCCUCUCUGUUGAGACUUCUAAGAAGCAAGGAUGGAUUUAUGAAUAGGGCCCAGUGAAUAAAUAAGUUUUGGAGGCUCCCAAUAGCGAGGACCUCUGUGAGUGAUGAAACAUCUGUUGGGGAAAUAAUGCCUUCUCUCAUUUCUUUCCUUUAAGUCUAUUUAACACACUGAAGCUAAAAUUAUCUUCAUUGCCUGAUACUCUGUAUUCCAUUAUAAAGCCCUUGAUCUAUCCAUUCCCAUGAAAAUGAGAUAUUUAUAUGUUGAGAUUCUAGAUUCUCAUUGCAUCUGCCCAGAUUUCUAAAGGAGAACAUACAAAAUGUAACAAAAGGAAAAAAGAUAGUAUUAGAAAAAAUAUAUGCAACAGACAGAUAUCUGUGAAAUUCUUAUAAACUACAAACUGGAUACAUAAAAACGUGAAACUCUGAAAGAUCUCGACAGGAGGAAAACAACACAUAGCAGACUGUAAUAAAAAAAGAAAAAUUAAGUCAGAUCUCCAACAGGGAAAAUAUACUUCAGAACCAGCCAUAAACACAAAUAGAACUAAAGCAAUCACUGUUCAUCAGAUAAAAAGCAGAAUUUGAAUUGCAUGAAAGAAGCUUUGCAUUUGUCAGGAGUUUCAUUGAACAAAACAAGUUAACCCACCAAAAUAUUUCUCUGUCUUGAAGGAAACACAACCUAUAAGAUGAGUAGUAUUAAUUGAAUGGGGCAGUAAAUGGUAGGGACCGUUAUUAAUAACCCCAUCCAAAUAAAGGACUGGGGGCGAGGGGAAGCAGCCAAGCUAAUUGCUGGUGCCCCCUUGUGGCGGAUGUCCAAAGCAGGUACUCCAUAGGGAGGGGAUACAGUGAUCAGAUAAGUGGUUUGGUAAAGGAUUUAAAGGAGCUGUUUGUUAUAGAAGCGGAAUUGGGGUGGGUGAGUUGGGGUGUCUAGACUGCAUGGCUGUGAACCAACCUGCCCCCGCUCCCUUAAUAGCCCACUUUAACCCUCAUUUCAGGGAGGAUGGUAAGGUCCCAGCAGUGGGUUGGCUGGGGACCAGGAUGGAAAAAAUCAGGGGAGGCUGACGGAAGCCCCCACGUAGCUAUUGAAAUGAUCGUGAAGUUACCUGCACUAUACACUUUUAUCUGCCAGGUAGUUGCAGCCAUCUAAUAAUAAAGUUAAGGGCUAAUUAAACCACAUCCAGUGUAUCCUGUCUUUAUUCCGGUAUAGCUGGACAGUGUUCAUACUUAAAAUCUUUCUCCUAAGACUGAUAUUAUAAUGUAGGGUAUUAGUUUGUACCUAGGAGAAUUAUAGUUUACUGGGUUGUGCAAGUGCAUGAUUCCCUUUGAUAUCAUAGUGUGGCCCUGAUAGUG